This 73-nucleotide transfer RNA is filed under the name Candidatus Magasanikiibacteriota bacterium. RNAcentral describes it as "tRNA-Asn". It matches the Rfam family "tRNA". Rfam says of the family: Transfer RNA (tRNA) molecules are approximately 80 nucleotides in length. The record is from RNAcentral. Lineage: Bacteria; Candidatus Magasanikiibacteriota. RNAcentral also lists the same sequence under 1 other name.
UCUCCUGUAGUUCAAUUGGUAGAACACUGCACUGUUAAUGCAGAUGUUGUAGGUUCGAGCCCUACCGGGAGAG